Molecule: transfer RNA, 103 nt
Filed under: Bacteroidota bacterium
Lineage: Bacteria; Pseudomonadati; Bacteroidota
Description: Bacteroidetes bacterium (activated sludge metagenome) tRNA-Arg
Rfam family: tRNA
About the family: Transfer RNA (tRNA) molecules are approximately 80 nucleotides in length. Their secondary structure includes four short double-helical elements and three loops (D, anti-codon, and T loops).
Source: RNAcentral
GGUUCCGUAGCUCAGCUGGAUAGAGCAACUGCCUUCUAAGCAGUAGGUCAAGCGUUCGAUGAUUAUUAUGCUUUUUUAAACAAUAUGGUAUCAUUCGUAACCA